RNAcentral lists this long non-coding RNA (115 nucleotides) under Polistes fuscatus (common paper wasp). RNAcentral describes it as "uncharacterized LOC122523500, transcript variant X1". The record is from RNAcentral. Lineage: Eukaryota; Metazoa; Arthropoda; Insecta; Hymenoptera; Vespidae.
CAGCUGCUAGUAGUAGUCGGUCGGUGGUCGUUCCUCGUAUCAGAGUUUAGUCUUCCCCUAGAUUAUAUCAUAUCUCUCGAUCCUAAUUAAAAGGAUACGCACAAGAAGGAAGGAA